This 604-nucleotide long non-coding RNA is filed under the name Linum usitatissimum (flax). Its description in RNAcentral is "long non-coding RNA (LUSI_LNC006381)". The record is from RNAcentral. Lineage: Eukaryota; Viridiplantae; Streptophyta; Magnoliopsida; Malpighiales; Linaceae.
UUCCGUAACUCUCCACAGUUGUGAUUUCGGGGGGAAGUGAGCAACUCACAGCACACCUCUUUCCCUCGCCCGAAUUUCGUUUUCAUCGUCUUCUUCCCGCUUCUUCCUCUCUUCAAUUCCCGCUCUAAAGACAUCGAAACUUCUCAAUUCAAUUUCUCUUCCAUCUGUUCAAAUUUCCGCUUAGCAUUUUACUUGCUAGGGUUUCUGGUUUUGGGUAGCCCUUCUUCUUGCGCCUUCGUCUCGCAAUCAUUCUCGCAUGCAGACUGCCAGUAAGUCUUACUUCAAUCUUAUUUUCCGCUUCCCAUUCGUUUCCAGGUCCAGCUAUGGUAUAGCUAUUGCUAUGCUCUUUGACAGCAGCUGGGUUAAUAUUGUGGUUAUGGACUUAAGGGACUGCUAAUUUUUACUCGAGUUGUUUUGUUUCAUUAGAAUAUAUAUCUGAUUCUACUUGUAGGGUUUUGGGUUUUGAUUUGCUGAACUUGAGUGCGCAAUCUGGUUGUAGAUCUAUCCGCAAGAGGUUCAUUUGGCAGUUUCAUCACCUUAGUGAUCUCUGCUUACCAAUUAUCUUUUUGAUGGUCUCUCAUCUAUUGGUAAGUUAGGCUCUCAG